UGGGGCGUCGCCAAGCGGUAAGGCAGCGGGCUUUGAAUCCGCCAUGCGAUGGUUCGAAUCCAUCCGCCCCAG
RNAcentral lists this transfer RNA (72 nucleotides) under Lysobacterales bacterium. Its description in RNAcentral is "tRNA-Gln". It matches the Rfam family "tRNA". Rfam says of the family: Transfer RNA (tRNA) molecules are approximately 80 nucleotides in length. Their secondary structure includes four short double-helical elements and three loops (D, anti-codon, and T loops). Further hydrogen bonds mediate the characteristic L-shaped molecular structure. tRNAs have two regions of fundamental functional importance: the anti-codon, which is responsible for specific mRNA codon recognition, and the 3' end, to which the tRNAs corresponding amino acid is attached (by aminoacyl-tRNA synthetases). tRNAs cope with the degeneracy of the genetic code in two manners: having more than one tRNA (with a specific anti-codon) for a particular amino acid; and 'wobble' base-pairing, i.e. permitting non-standard base-pairing at the 3rd anti-codon position. Lineage: Bacteria; Pseudomonadati; Pseudomonadota; Gammaproteobacteria; Lysobacterales. The record is from RNAcentral. RNAcentral also lists the same sequence under 1 other name.